UUUCCGUAGGUGAACCUGCGGAAGGAUCAUUAUUGGAUUUUGAAACUUCAGGCUGCUGCUGGCUCUCCUCGGAGGGCAUGUGCACGCUUGUUGUCCAUUAUUUCUCCCACUGUGCACAAAUUGUGGACCUUUCAGUAGGCCUAUGUUGUUUUUCACAAUCUCUGAAUGUAAUAGAAUGGUUUUGAAUCUUGGGAAAUACAAUACAACUUUCAGCAACGGAUCUCUUGGCUCUC
Molecule: unclassified non-coding RNA, 233 nt
Filed under: plant metagenome
Description: partial contains small subunit ribosomal RNA, internal transcribed spacer 1, and 5.8S ribosomal RNA
Source: RNAcentral